GGGCCCGUAGUUUUAUGGAGUAAAAUGCUACCUUUGGUAAGUAGAGUAGCGGGUGCAAAUCCCGCCGGGUCCA
Molecule: transfer RNA, 73 nt
Filed under: bacterium
Lineage: Bacteria
Description: tRNA-Thr
Rfam family: tRNA
About the family: Transfer RNA (tRNA) molecules are approximately 80 nucleotides in length. Their secondary structure includes four short double-helical elements and three loops (D, anti-codon, and T loops).
Source: RNAcentral